Camelina sativa (false flax) is the source of this 182-nucleotide non-coding RNA. The record is from RefSeq and is a predicted model, not a curated record. NCBI's taxonomy places the organism in Eukaryota, Viridiplantae, Streptophyta, Magnoliopsida, Brassicales, Brassicaceae.
GGCGGCCCAACAAUUCCAGUACUUUUGGGAAGACUUGAUUCAACGCAACCUGAUCCAGAAGGCAAGCUACCUCCAGAAAUCCUCAGUGCCUCGGGUUUAAAAGAAUGCUUCAAAAGAAAAGGAUUUUCGACUCAGGAGCUUGUUGCUUUAUCUGGGGCACAUACAAUAGGGAGUAAAGGCUU